This 253-nucleotide ribosomal RNA is filed under the name uncultured bacterium. RNAcentral describes it as "partial 16S ribosomal RNA". It matches the Rfam family "Bacterial small subunit ribosomal RNA", at positions 524 to 776 of the family's 1533-position model. The record is from RNAcentral.
UACGGGGGGCGCAAGCGUUGUUCGGAUUUACUGGGCGUAAAGGGCUCGUAGGCGGUUUGUCGCGUCGGGAGUGAAAACCCAGGGCUUAACCCUGGGCUGGCUUCCGAUACGGGCAGACUAGAGGUAUGCAGGGGAGAACGGAAUUCCUGGUGUAGCGGUGAAAUGCGCAGAUAUCAGGAGGAACACCGGUGGCGAAGGCGGUUCUCUGGGCAUUACCUGACGCUGAGGAGCGAAAGUGUGGGGAGCGAACAGG